Molecule: ribosomal RNA, 375 nt
Filed under: uncultured bacterium
Lineage: Bacteria
Description: bacterial SSU rRNA
Rfam family: Bacterial small subunit ribosomal RNA
Source: RNAcentral
AGCGAACGCUGGCGGCAGGCUUAACACAUGCAAGUCGAACGGGCGUAGCAAUACGUCAGUGGCAGACGGGUGAGUAACGCGUGGGAACGUACCUUUUGGUUCGGAACAACCCAGGGAAACUUGGGCUAAAUACCGGAUAAGCCCUUACGGGGGAAAGAUUUAUCGCCGAAAGAUCGGCCCGCGUCUGAUUAGCUAGUUGGUGAGGUAACGGCUCACCAAGGCGACGAUCAGUAGCUGGUCUGAGAGGANGAUCAGCCACAUUGGGACUGAGACACGGCCCAAACUCCUACGGGAGGCAGCAGUGGGGAAUUGUUCGCAAUGGACGAAAGUCUGACGACGCAACGCCGCGUGGAGGAUGAAGACCUCGGUCGUAAC